Molecule: unclassified non-coding RNA, 288 nt
Filed under: fungal sp.
Lineage: Eukaryota; Fungi
Description: partial internal transcribed spacer region
Rfam family: Eukaryotic small subunit ribosomal RNA (bases 1-46)
Source: RNAcentral
AAGUCGUAACAAGGUAUCCGUAGGUGAACCUGCGGAUGGAUCAUUAUCACGUUAUCCACGUAUCAACCAUUGUGAACUGUUUUGUAUAUAUAUUGUUGUUUGUUUGGGGUUGUUUAAGAGCAAUCUUUUUCAAUUUCAACAUUCAUAAUAUAUAUAUUUUAUUAUUAACUAUUUAAACAAUUUUUAAAUAAUUAAUUUUUUGAACUGAAACAUUUCUUACUCUUUGGAGAAGAAAUAAAAAAUUACGAAACAUAAGAACAACUCUUAGCAACGGAUAUCUUGGUUCUC